CUCCACUGUUGUCCAUCAGAGGGCGCUGUUCUCCAGCAGCACACAGACCGUAAACAGCGACUCUGCCCUUGCGCAAAGUGCAUUUAUCUUCCGCUGUCUCCCUUCAUGUUCAUUCAGCCAACGGCGCUUUAUUAAAUCUCCAACCGUUUGUCAUCAUCUCUGGCCCCUUGACACACUCAAAGAAACGCCUCGACAAAGACCUUCAUGGCUGUUGUAUUAAUAUGAGCACCGCGCGGGCGCUGCCGGAUGACGGAAUUACUCAAAAGCAUCCUGCCCUUUAUGAAAACACAGCCUGAGAUUCAUCAAGGACGCAUGUCAUGUGCCGUGGGAAUGAGGAGGUUCUUCUUUCUUAUACUCCUAUUUUAGACGUACAGAUAUCAAUUAACUCCUCGGCCAUGUGCAUUAGAAACAGGUCAGUGGUUCCUGCUCUUAAUUGUGGUUGUAGAGAGCAGGGGUGAGGACGGCUGCCCGGGCCACGUUGCUGUGUUUUAAUGGGGAGAUGCGGUAUAAUAGCUUUGACCUCUGACCUUUUGUGGUGACUAUAGCUCAUUACGCUGAUCGGUGAGUGUCAGAGUGGCAUCUGAGAGCGAGCGAGCGUGUGUGUGCGGUAAGGUGGGUCACAGGAGCGACGCUGCCGGCACCUCACCCCUCAUCUGCAAAUAAAAUACAAUCACACACACAUACUAAUUAAAACCGGGAAGAAGGCCACUGUUUUUUACUCGUUGUCAGUUGCAUUUCUCCAUGCAUGGAUAGUCCAGUGCACGGUUCCAGGAAGUGGAUUCAGAGACCAAAGUUCUUUGCUCAGUUCUCACUUUUUCUCUCAUUGUUAUAGUCUGUGCACACACACACACCGACACACACACUGCUGUAAACGCCUUCUUGUCAUCAGUAUUUCUCGGACCCUGUCGCACUAAUAAACGGUGUAAUCGCAGAGGGGUUUGCAAUAUGUUUACGUGUGGAUGCUGUAUGCACAUUUUCAAUAACCGGCAAAGUUUAAACCCUUGUUUCAGAGCAACUGUUUGUUGAUUGACAGGUUGAUUGAUUGUCAGAGCGCAUUAGCAUUUACACUACAAAUGUAAAGUGGUCGCAAGCGUCUCUGUGAUCGGAUCACCUGAGACGAAUGUUAAUACCAGGUUCAAAGGAGGUCAAUUGUUUCCUCUUUCAUCGCUUUCCGUCGUCUCCUCUCAGCCUGUCCGUCUUCAUUUGCUCACCUCUGGAUUGAGAGAAUCAACUGAGCAUCGAAUGAAGUCCCAUUGCAUCCUGAUUGCUUGGAGCAAAGCAUCAAUUUGCAUCAAAACUGUACGCUUUGGGUCAGUGACCGCGCUCAACAUGGAGAGGACGAGAGCCGUACACACCGAAGGAUCCAUGUGACCAGGAAUUUGAAAAUAUUGAUGAUAGCUGAUGUGCGUCUUCUGUCCCCGGGCCCCUGCUGUUGGCUGGAUCGGCCCUCAGUGCAGGUCUGGCCUUUUCUGAGACCUCUGGUCCUCGCUGACAGAUGGAAGCUUUGUCACUCUUGCGUGCGACACUGGGGACCCGAGUCACAGGAUGCGAGCUGCUGUAGGGCUUUUUCAUAUGGAAUUAAAUGUCUCCAAUUAGCACAAACUGUUUAGAAUUGUAAAUAAUUCCAUGUAUUCCAUGUGUCCCAGGAAUAUUCGAUUCUGAUUGGUCAAUUGCUGCAUUCUGAGGUCAGAUGUCU
Megalobrama amblycephala (Wuchang bream) is the source of this 1696-nucleotide long non-coding RNA. RefSeq lists it as uncharacterized. Lineage: Eukaryota; Metazoa; Chordata; Actinopteri; Cypriniformes; Xenocyprididae. The record is from RefSeq and is a predicted model, not a curated record. The transcript has 4 exons.